UCUCCCCCCCAACUUUAUUUCCAUUGCCCCCAAUGGAUGAAGAAAAUAACAAAGUAGAAUAGAGAAAGAAAUUACAAGGAAAGAUACCACCUGGAUGUGAUGUGCUCGUUCAUUGUCAGGUGAGGGAUUCUUCCUUUGUGGGCGUGAUUAGUUCAUGACUCCAUCUGGGCUUUGGAUGAGAUGCUCCCCCCAACUUGGCUGAUUGUCUUUCUUGAAUUUUU
RNAcentral lists this long non-coding RNA (221 nucleotides) under Elaeis guineensis (African oil palm). RNAcentral describes it as "long non-coding RNA (EGUI_LNC076736)". Lineage: Eukaryota; Viridiplantae; Streptophyta; Magnoliopsida; Arecales; Arecaceae. The record is from RNAcentral.